AGCGAACGCUGGCGGCAGGCCUAACACAUGCAAGUCGAACGGAUCCUUCGGGAUUAGUGGCGGACGGGUGAGUAACACGUGGGAACGUGCCCUUUGGUUCGGAACAACUCAGGGAAACUUGAGCUAAUACCGGAUGUGCCCUUCGGGGGAAAGAUUUAUCGCCAUUGGAGCGGCCCGCGUCUGAUUAGCUAGUUGGUGAGGGAAAGGCUCACCAAGGCGACGAUCAGUAGCUGGUCUGAGAGGAUGAUCAGCCACAUUGGGACUGAGACACGGCCCAAACUCCUACGGGAGGCAGCAGUGGGGAAUCUUGCGCAAUGGGCAAAAGCCUGACGCAGCCAUGCCGCGUGAAUGAUGAAGGUCUUAGGAUUGUAAAAUUCUUUCGCCGGGGACGAUAAUGACGGUACCCGGAGAAGAAGCCCCGGCUAACUUCGUGCCAGCCGCCGCCGUAA
RNAcentral lists this ribosomal RNA (449 nucleotides) under uncultured bacterium. Its description in RNAcentral is "partial 16S ribosomal RNA". It matches the Rfam family "Bacterial small subunit ribosomal RNA", at positions 29 to 523 of the family's 1533-position model. The record is from RNAcentral.